Molecule: long non-coding RNA, 265 nt
Organism: Daphnia magna
Lineage: Eukaryota; Metazoa; Arthropoda; Branchiopoda; Diplostraca; Daphniidae
Exons: 2
Source: RefSeq, a predicted model, not a curated record
GAAACGGUGGGUCGACGCAAUUGCAACGUGGGUUUUCCCAUAAAGAAAAUUGUUUAUACCCACAUAAAAUCAAAAUCGAGAUAUCUCAGCAUCCACAAAUGCUAGUGUGAUCAAAUUUUACCACAAGGAAUGCAGUCGAUCACUACGUAGCACCCAACGACUCAGAAGAUUUCAGACAACUUACCCCAGCUAUGAGACAAUUUGGCCGUCUUUUGUUUUCUCUUUAUUUUCUCAUUUUUUAAUGAAUAAAAACUUGAAAUAGAAA